CCUACGGGAUGCAGCAGUGAGGAAUAUUGGUCAAUGGUCGGGAGACUGAACCAGCCAAGCCGCGUGAGGGAUGAAGGUACAGAGUAUCGUAAACCUCUUUUGUCAGGGAACAAAGGCGGGGACGCGUCCCCGGAUGAGUGUACCUGAAGAAAAAGCAUCGGCUAACUCCGUGCCAGCAGCCGCGGUAAUCCGGAGGGUGCGAGCGUUAUCCGGAUUUAUUGGGUUUAAAGGGUGCGCAGGCGGUCUGUUAAGUCAGCGGUAAAAGCCCGGGGCUCAACCCCGGCCCGCCGUUGAAACUGGCAGUCUCGAGUUGGAGAGAAGUAUGCGGAAUGCGCGGUGUAGCGGUGAAAUGCAUAGAUAUCGCGCAGAACUCCGAUUGCGAAGGCAGCAUGCCGGCUCCACACUGACGCUGAGGCACGAAAGCGUGGGUAUCGAACAGGAUUAGAUACCCCUGUAGUC
This 459-nucleotide ribosomal RNA is filed under the name uncultured bacterium. Its description in RNAcentral is "partial 16S ribosomal RNA". It matches the Rfam family "Bacterial small subunit ribosomal RNA", at positions 338 to 795 of the family's 1533-position model. The record is from RNAcentral.